GACGAACGCUGGCGGCGUGCUUAACACAUGCAAGUCGAACGGAAAGGCCCUGCUUUUGUGGGGUGCUCGAGUGGCGAACGGUUGAGUAACACGUGAGUAACCUGCCCUUGACUUUGGGAUAACUUCAGGAAACUGGGGCUAAUACCGGAUAGGAGCUCCUGCUGCAUGGUGGGGGUUGGAAAGUUUCGGCGGUUGGGGAUGGACUCGCGGCUUAUCAGCUUGUUGGUGGGGUAGUGGCUUACCAAGGCUUUGACGGGUAGCCGGCCUGAGAGGGUGACCGGCCACAUUGGGACUGAGAUACGGCCCAGACUCCUACGGGAGGCAGCAGUGGGGAAUAUUGCACAAUGGGCGGAAGCCUGAUGCAGCAACGCCGCGUGCGGGAUGACGGCCUUCGGGUUGUAAACCGCUUUCGCCUGUGACGAAGCGUGAGUGACGGUAAUGGGUAAAGAAGCACCGGCUAACUACGUG
This 468-nucleotide ribosomal RNA is filed under the name uncultured bacterium. RNAcentral's name for it is "partial 16S ribosomal RNA". It matches the Rfam family "Bacterial small subunit ribosomal RNA", at positions 28 to 507 of the family's 1533-position model. The record is from RNAcentral.